Hipposideros armiger (great roundleaf bat) is the source of this 391-nucleotide non-coding RNA. The record is from the annotation of a RefSeq genome assembly. NCBI's taxonomy places the organism in Eukaryota, Metazoa, Chordata, Mammalia, Chiroptera, Hipposideridae.
CUUUGGGGAAGGCAGAGCUGUGGUCUAGAAGAAGAUGAGGCUGCUGGGUCUUCUCCUGUGCCUGGUGACAGCCCCCCAAGGUGUCCUGUCCCAGGUGCAGCUGCAGGAGUCGGGCCCAGGACUGGUGAAGCCGUCGCAGACCCUGUCCCUCACCUGCACUGUCUCUGGUUACUCCAUCACCAGUGGUUACUGCUGGGGCUGGAUCCGGCAGACCCCGGAGAAGGGGCUGGAGUGGAUCGGGACACUAGUUAUAGUGGGAGCACUGACUACAGCCCGUCCCUCAAGAGCCGCACCUCCAUCUCCAGAGACACGUCCAAAAACCAGUUCUCCCUGCAGCUGAGCUCUGUGACCUCCGAGGACACGGCCGUGUAUUACUGUGCGAGGAACACAG